RNAcentral lists this ribosomal RNA (590 nucleotides) under Saccharomyces jurei. RNAcentral describes it as "eukaryotic LSU rRNA". It matches the Rfam family "Eukaryotic large subunit ribosomal RNA", at positions 51 to 655 of the family's 3401-position model. Lineage: Eukaryota; Fungi; Ascomycota; Saccharomycetes; Saccharomycetales; Saccharomycetaceae. The record is from RNAcentral.
CGGAGGAAAAGAAACCAACCGGGAUUGCCUUAGUAACGGCGAGUGAAGCGGCAAAAGCUCAAAUUUGAAAUCUGGUACCUUUGGUGCCCGAGUUGUAAUUUGGAGAGGGCAACUUUGGGGCCGUUCCUUGUCUAUGUUCCUUGGAACAGGACGUCAUAGAGGGUGAGAAUCCCGUGUGGCGAGGAGUGCGGUUCUAUGUAAAGUGCCUUCGAAGAGUCGAGUUGUUUGGGAAUGCAGCUCUAAGUGGGUGGUAAAUUCCAUCUAAAGCUAAAUAUUGGCGAGAGACCGAUAGCGAACAAGUACAGUGAUGGAAAGAUGAAAAGAACUUUGAAAAGAGAGUGAAAAAGUACGUGAAAUUGUUGAAAGGGAAGGGCAUUUGAUCAGACAUGGUGUUUUGUGCCCUCUGCUCCUUGUGGGUAGGGGAAUCUCGCAUUUCACUGGGCCAGCAUCAGUUUUGGUGGCAGGAUAAAUCCGUAGGAAUGUAACUUGCUUCGGGAAGUAUUAUAGCCUGCGGGAAUACUGCCAGCUGGGACUGAGGACUGCGACGUAAGUCAAGGAUGCUGGCAUAAUGGUUAUAUGCCGCCCGUCUU